CUAACCAGGAUUUCCCUAGUAACGGCGAGCGAACCGGAAAGAGCCCAGCUUGAAAAUCGCGGCGCCUCGCGCCGCGAAUUGUAGUCUGGAGAAGCUCCCUCUGCGGCGCACCGGGCCCAAGUCCCCUGGAAAGGGGCGUCAGAGAGGGUGAAAACCCCGUCGAGCCCGGUCCGUGCCGCUCCACGAGGAGCUGUCUGCGAGUCGGGCUGUUUGGGAAUGCAGCCCUAAGCGGGAGGUAAAUUCCUUCCAAGGCUAAAUAUGGGCAAGAGACCGAUAGCGAACAAGUACCGCGAGGGAAAGAUGAAAAGGACUUUGAAAAGAGAGUUAAAAAGUGCUUGAAAUUGCUGGGAGGGAAGCGAAUGGAAGCUGCGGGUGCGCCCCGGUUGGAUGUGGAACGGCCGUCAGAAAGCUGGUCCGCCGCUCAACGCGGGGCGCUGGUCAGCGUGGGCCUUCGCGCCGGGACAAGAGCGGGACUUCGCGUCCCGUCUAUGCCGGUGCGGGGGCCGAGGAACGAAGCGCGCGCCGUACGGCGUGGGGCUCGCCCCAACUGCGCGCUCGGGACGCUGGCGUAUUGAGCUCUUCAUCCGACCCGUCUUGAAACACGGACCAAGGAGUCUAACAUGUAUGCGAGCCGGUGGGCGGCAAACCCAUUGAGGCGCAAGUAACCUGACAGGUGGGACCCCGACCGAGAGGGAGGGAGCACCAUCGACCGACCGUGAUCUUCUGUGAAAGGUUUGAGUGCGAGCAUACCCGUUGGGACCCGAAAGAUGGUGAACUAUGCCUGAGCAGGGCGAAGCCAGAGGAAACUCUGGUGGAGGCUCGUAGCGAUACUGACGUGCAAAUCGUUCGUCAGACUUGGGUAUAGGGGCGAAAGACUAAUCGAACCAUCUAGUAGCUGGUUCCCUCCGAAGUUUCCCUCAGGAUAGCUGGAGCUCGUGUAAGAGUUUUAUCAGGUAAAGCGAAUGAUUAGAGGCAUCGGGGGUGUAACACCCUCGACCUAUUCUCAAACUUUAAAUAGGUAAGCCGCCGGGGUUGCUUGGUUGAACCCCGGCACAGAAUGAGAGCUCCC
RNAcentral lists this ribosomal RNA (1069 nucleotides) under Neomeesia paludella. RNAcentral describes it as "eukaryotic LSU rRNA". It matches the Rfam family "Eukaryotic large subunit ribosomal RNA", at positions 65 to 1124 of the family's 3401-position model. Lineage: Eukaryota; Viridiplantae; Streptophyta; Bryopsida; Splachnales; Meesiaceae. The record is from RNAcentral.